This is a long non-coding RNA of Hydra vulgaris (swiftwater hydra), 391 nucleotides long. RefSeq lists it as uncharacterized. Lineage: Eukaryota; Metazoa; Cnidaria; Hydrozoa; Anthoathecata; Hydridae. The record is from RefSeq and is a predicted model, not a curated record.
CGUUUCGUUAGGUACAGUAAAAGUUUAUUUGGAUUUCAAUUUUAGCCACAUUUAACUAUUUAAUUCAUUUAAAGUUUAUUAUAAAAUGUCAGCUCACAGUUAUUCUGUUGAAGAUAUCAAGCUUUAUCUUUCUAAAGGAGAAAUAAAUUGCUCUAAAUCACAGUGUAAAUCAUUUUUAAAAUAUGCAAAAAAAUUCAAACUAUGUGGAAUGACAAGCUAAGCUUCUUGGUUACAAGCGGUAAAAGAUUAUCUUUUAGGUAAACUCAAUCUCUGAUGUUGACUGCAAAGACAAGUAACUUCCAAUCUAGGAGAGGUAAACGUUAAGGGACAGAUUUAAAAACAAAGUAAAUGUAAAUUAAUUUUUAGCUAAUAAAUUUUUAUAAUUUUAUUA